This 599-nucleotide non-coding RNA is filed under the name Intoshia linei. RNAcentral describes it as "Eukaryotic small subunit ribosomal RNA". It matches the Rfam family "Eukaryotic small subunit ribosomal RNA", at positions 1275 to 1831 of the family's 1831-position model. The record is from Rfam by way of RNAcentral. Lineage: Eukaryota; Metazoa; Orthonectida; Rhopaluridae.
UGGUGGUGCAUGGCCGUUCUUAGUUGGUGGAGCGAUUUGUCUGGUUAAUUCCGAUAACGAACGAGACUCUAGCCUGCUAAAUAGCUUUAAUGCCUUUUCGGAUUGAGGUGUAGCUUUGCUUUAGUAAAGUCUUCAUUGCAACCGUUCAAGUGAGGCAUUAACGCUUCUUAGAGGGACUGGUGUGCGGUAAAUAUUUGUAGGCACACGAAAUAGAGCAAUAACAGGUCUGUGAUGCCCUUAGAUGUCCGGGGCUGCACGCGCGCUACACUGAAGGAGUCAUCGGGUAUACUUACUUUUUCCGAGAGGAAUGAGAAAUCCGUUUAACUUCCUUCGUGAUGGGGAUUGUGCGAUGUAACUACGCACAUGAACGAGGAAUUCCUUGUAAGCGCGAGUCAUUAGCUCGUGUUGAAUACGUCCCUGCCCUUUGUACACACCGCCCGUCGCUACUACUGAUUGAAUGGUUUAGUGAGGUCAUUGGAUCGGAUAGUCUUUCUUCGCAAGUUGAUUGACAGUCUGAGUAAAAUGAUCGAACUUGACCCUUUAGAGGAAGUAAAAGUCGUAACAAGGUUUCCGUAGGUGAACCUGCGGAAGGAUCAUAA